AGCUUCAUAAAAAUCCAAUUAUGUUAUCAAAUCAUUAAAUUGAUUAUUUUACUAAAAUAUGAACAAAAUACUAAAUUAUAUAUGAAAAGCAGACAUAGGUUUCACACUUACGGUCUUCCUUGGGAAAACAGUUUCCAAGAAGGUUGUAGAUAUACUUUUAAAAUAUUUUUCAAUGUUAUCCUUCUGGCCCAUAUUGUCUAAGAUUACAGAGAAAGACAACACAUGGAAAGAGUACUAAAUUUGGGGUCAGAGUAAUCUCACUGUAAUCUCAGGUUAGACACUAUGCAUAUGAUUUUCAAUGAUGUAAUUAACUUCUAUGUACCUGUAUUUCCUCAUUUGUAAAAUGGAGAUAAUUUCUAUUUUACACAGUUAUUAUAAGAAUCAAGGCCAACAAAAUAGUACAUGUGGAAUUACAUAUGACAAUUUCCAGUGAGGAGAGCAGAAUAUGCCACCCCCCCCAAAUAUUUCUCUUUGACAUAAAAAUUAUCUUGACCUGGUUAUUUUUAAGACACAGGAGAAGCUCUGAAAAUUGAGUAGAAGUUGUCCGUUUUGUAAGCAACAUGCACAUUUAUAAGGGAAAUGUCCAUUUAUAAGUGUGUCUCCCUUUCUAUACCAGGCAGAGAAGGAUCACUAAAUCUCUAGACACUCUUAUUCAAUGGAAAAGGCAACUAUACCCCUGUUGAUUUCGCUUUGCUUGAUACCCUUCCAUAACUGGCUUAUUCCUUCCUUUCCCAACAUCUUCCUUUGUCUUGAGCUGGUAUGUAAAGGUGUGGUUUGGACCAUUUUGGGGAGUUACUCAGUUUUCCAUGUUAUUAGACUUCUGUUUUUCUCCUGUUAAUCUGUCUUUUAGUACAGGGGGUCUCAACCAAGAACCUAGAAGUGUAGAGGGAAAAUUAUCUUUCCUCCCCACCAGUUUGGUGACCCAUGAUGGGACCUGCUGAGACACCAUACUCACUCCAGAGCCUGCAGAUGGGAUCCUGGAAGACUGGUAGAAGCUGGCAAAAAGUAAAAAUUCUUACCAAAGUCAGCUCUCCCAAAUCUCUCUCUCUAUGCCCAGUUUAAAGGAGAAGGUAAAAAUUUCUUGUCCCUUCCUUUCUAAAUUUAGAUUAGCAGGAAAAAAUAUUUGUGUGAACUAGUUUCUUGCAUAUAGCAACUGGUAAAGAUUUUUGUUAUUGCUCUUGUUUUCUCUUUCCUCCCAGAAAUGGUCAUUGUUUUGUCUCUGUCUUUUGUGUCCUUUGUUAUAAGGAGGAGAACCAUGGGCAAGAUGAAAUUUUCCUUUUGUCUUAUUUAACGUUUUGAGAGCUUGGCUUCGUGGCAAAUGAGGAUAUUCUCUCUGCCAGCUAAAACAGUCUGAGGGUCCAGGACAUGAACUGACAAGCCGCAUUCUCUUUGUCCACUAGAGCUGGCUCACAGGGGAUUUGUCUUAAGGGGUCCUGGUCCAUAAAGGGCCUUUGUCAUCUCAGCCUUUAUUGUCUCAUUAGUGCCGAAAAGUCCCAUUCCAAUUUUACAUGCCCAGUGUCACAGAUUAGCAGGACUAUAAGUAGAGGCAUUUCAUCUUCUGGGAGACCAAAGACCCGUUUUCCCUCCCGCCUUUCUUAGCACCUGAGACAGUGAAGGUCUCUUUGCUUUCUUAGGCCAACUCUGGGAGUGAACAUUUUGGAUUAUGGGGGCUUUAUCUUCUGCACUAUCUUUUGCAAUGCCUUUUGUGUCCAUAGUUAAGUCCAUUAAAGGCUUAUUGGUUUGAGUCACUACUGAGAUAAAUAUAUUGAGGAUUCUACUUGUCAAUGGCCAGAUGAGGGAUCUUUUGAACUGGAAAAACUUCUAUAUUUGAAAAAAGUUGUUUUGAAAAAAGUUGUAAACAACUGUCUUAUUGAUACCUAUGGAAAGAUAACAUUGAAAAGAAGACACAAAAGAGUAUGGCAUCUAGCCUUAGGGGUUUCCUUAACAAGACAAAAUUAUAUAAACCCCCCUUUUACUUCCAGUUUCAAAAGAUCCUACCAAAUUUAUAGAAGAGUUGAAAAGAUCAGUGGACAUUCACAUUUCUACUAACAGGGGACCUUGAUUGGGGCUGCUAAGGGGUGUUCUUUCAUUAUAUUACUGUAGUUAACAGAAAAGCCAGAUGGCCCCCUGGGGAAAACACCUCUUACAGAGGUAACAGAUGAACAGAAUUUCUCCCAGGCCCUCUUACACAUGAUCAGGAAAUGGCUCAGCUGGAGGUUGAUGUUAAGAAGCUGACAGAAGCAAUAGCAGAGCUUUUCAUCCUAAGGUGAACUGGUUGAGGUUGAAUUGAACAUGCAGAAAAAAAGGUCUAACUUUGGGAGCCCACCUGCAAGACUGCCUCCUGAAAUGAGACACAACUGUUUAACUGAACUGACCUAUUUCAAGACUAAUACUGGUUCAAUGAGAUAGAUAUGGAGAAGUCUUUCAACUCAACUUCUGUACUAUGAAAUUCCUUGAAGAAAUUUCAACAGCUGGGCUGGAGGUGAACAGAAUACGCCACCCUGAAAUAUGCCUCUUUGGCAUAUGGAUUUUCUUGAGCUGGUUACUUUUAAGAAACAGCAGACACAGGAGAAGCUCUGAAAACCAGUAGAAGUUAUGCUUUUGUAAGAGACAUUCACAUUAAUAAGUAGAAAAGAAAUUGUGGUUGCUAUUUGCCUUUGAAUGGCAAGACUCCAAUUCCAAAACAACAAGUCAGUACUGCUGGAUGGUGCUGCCACAAGGAUUUAAAAAUUCCCUCACCCUCUUCAACGAGACUUUGGCUAAAGAUUUAUGAGGAUUAUACGUGGAUCAAGGUUGAGUAGAGGCCUUCCCAGCCAGAGUGGAAAAAGCAUCAGAAGUGACAAAAGCCCUUCUUAAGGACAUUAUUCCUAGGUACGGCCUUCCCUCUACUAUUCAGAGUGACAAUGGAUCUGCUUUUGUCACAGAAAUAACACAAACAGUAAAUAAAGCUUUAGGUAUAAAAUGGAAACUUCAUUCAUCAUGGAGACCCCAAUCUACAGGAAAGGCCGAGAAGAUGAAUCACACCCUGAAGAAAACUCUCACCAAGCUAUGGAGGAAACUCAUCUAAAAUGGGACAAGGUCUUGCCAAUUGCUCUCCUCCAUAUACAGUUGGCCCCUAGAAGCAGGCUAGGAUUGAGCCCUUACAAAAUUAUAUAUGGGAGACAAUUCUUAGCUUCUAAGAGUAAAGAAAGAGAAACGUUUCUCAUGCAGGAGGUAAAAAUUAAACAGUAUGUACAACAGAUUGACCAACUGUUAACUGCUACUCAUGAGUUUGUGUCCCAGAGGUCUCCCCCUCACCUGGAAGUUCCCUUGCAUCCCUUCAAAGCAGAAUACUGGGUGCUGCUGGAAAUGUGGAAAGAGCAAGGACCUGAGCAGCAGCUUGAAGAGAAAUGGAAGGGACCCUAUGACAUUCUUCUUACUACUCAUGCCUCUCAAAUUGUAUGGAGUAAAACCAUGGGUACAUCACACUAGAGUAAAAAGAUUAUCAGAGACUGACCAGCCAGGCCUGCCUAUAGCCAGUGAGCAGAUUCCCAAGAAGUGGACCUCUCACCUUUUGGGAAACCUUAAGUAUUUGUUCUGGCAAGCGAAAUGAAAGUUCUGUUUUCUUAUCCUUUCUCAUACCUUUUACCUUUCCCCACAAAACUAUAGAUUCAUAUGCUGAUUCUUUCAGUAAUUCUAACUGCUGGAUAUGUGGUCAGCUUCCUAUUUCGGGGUCUUCAGGAUUGCCUUGGUGGGUUUGCCCCCUUACAGGGAAUGGUGUGGAAAUAACUGGCAACAAGUCUCCCCAAACCAGUUCCAGACUGGGUUUCAGACUUAUUUUCCUGAAUUCCUAAGAGAAUGAGACGUAUUUUUGUCUAAAGUUCCAGUUGUCACUCCUCCUACCUCUAACUGGGUCUGUUGUGCCAAAAUGGCAGACAAAGAAAUUGAGAUCUUAAUCAUACAAAACUCAGAUCUAGGACUUGGACCUCAAAUAUUUCUAAUUCAGUAUCCAUUCCCCCAAAUUUAGGCAGACUACACCCCAUUUCAGCAGGAAGUAGCCAGAGCAAUCAUUGCCGUCCCUGAAAGAUUUGGGGAAAGAUAAAAUCUAAGUGGGGAUUAAAACCAAGUCUCCCUAAAACCGAGUUCCUCUGCCAAGUUUAUGAUUAACAUCUCUAUCCAAAAUGAUUAUUCAUUUUCUUGUCCAACAUCUGUUCUCCUCAAGAUUGAGGAGUAUCAAAGAAAAAGGGAGAGUGAAACUGAGCAGGACCCUGUUGUCUCCUGGGCACAGAAGCCUUUCUGUGUCUCCUGUUUCUUGU
Long non-coding RNA from Aethalodelphis obliquidens (Pacific white-sided dolphin), 4295 nucleotides. RefSeq lists it as uncharacterized. The record is from RefSeq and is a predicted model, not a curated record. NCBI's taxonomy places the organism in Eukaryota, Metazoa, Chordata, Mammalia, Artiodactyla, Delphinidae. The transcript is spliced from 3 exons.